Molecule: long non-coding RNA, 665 nt
Filed under: Bos taurus (domestic cattle)
Lineage: Eukaryota; Metazoa; Chordata; Mammalia; Artiodactyla; Bovidae
Description: long non-coding RNA NONBTAT002691
Source: RNAcentral
AAGUAUAAAAAUUAAAAGGAGUAUUCUUAGCAAUCUAUAGGAAGUACCUCAUGUAUUGCUAGAGUUUUUCCAGUUGAUUCAGUUCAAUUUAUGUCUACUCUCAGUGGAUAUAUAAAUAUCUUUGUAUAUCUGGGAAUAUGUUUUACAUUGGGUUUAAUAUAAGUGAGCUGGUAGGAAUCCUUCAGCUAGCACUUAGAAUUACCAUUUUGGGAUAGGAGCCAAAUUUUUUAAUAGCUACCCAAAAAACACUUCUUAAGACUUAGUUUAAGCCAAGAAGUAGAGAAAAUUACAGGUAUAACCACAUUAAAACUUAAAGUAAAUUUGCAUAGUAGGGUACGUUGAUCCAGACUAAAUUGAGGCAGCCUACAGGCUAACACACUUCAGCUUAAGAAGCAACUACCUGAAACUCACUUUGGGAUUCACUUUCCCAAAAAGGCACUUGGAGUGGGAAAAAGUCUUUAAGUAUGUAUUAAAUAUUUUAAUUGCACAAGCUUGUAAGAUAGUUUUGACAUUAAUACCUCUACUAAAAAACAAAUAUAUCAAAAAAUUCAUACUUUUCCUUAAAAAAAUCACUACACUGCAAAAUGGUCAUGUUUAGUGAAUUAAGAAUUGUACCAGAUAAUAAGCAGUAUCUGGCGCUGAAAAAACAAAUUAAUGCAUUGGGC